Molecule: long non-coding RNA, 1738 nt
Filed under: Nicotiana tabacum (common tobacco)
Lineage: Eukaryota; Viridiplantae; Streptophyta; Magnoliopsida; Solanales; Solanaceae
Description: long non-coding RNA (NTAB_LNC008379)
Source: RNAcentral
GAGUAUUGAAGAGAGGAGUAGCACGUGACUGGCACGUGAGUCAAUAUGAUUAGUUAAAAGUAAGUUAUAACUAAUUAUAGGAUUGGGUGUUAGAGAAUUAACGGAAGCUGUGUAAAAUUAGUUAGCUUAGCUGGUAGUUGUAGUGUAUAUAUACUAGCCACAUGUCAUUGUAUACAAUAUGAUUUGAGAAAAUAAUUUCAGCUCAAUUUGCUCUCCAAUGCUCUCCAAUGGAGUUUCUGGAGUUUCUAGAACCUUCUGGUUCAUUUCUCUUUUCUCAUUUUAAUCGAGCUAAUCUCAAAUCUUCAUCAAAAAGCAAAUAAUUCUGGCCAGAAACUUUCAAACACUUAAAUUACGUUUAACUUGUUACAGUAACUUUUUGAGAGAGUUGAUCAGACAAAAAGAUAGUCAGCAUAUAAAUUAAAAGACUGAGAACAGCUUUUGCAUAAACGAAAUGGCAUCUGUGCUACUCAUAUUGCUCCAUGAAAUCAUCGUUGAACUUUUUGAAACUAGCCAUUAUUGAAGGCAUGUCUUCUUCAGCUGGCAAGAUAGUUGUUCUUAGGUGGAACACCCUACAUAGAGAAGCACCCUCAAAUUGCAAUAGAUUCCACCAUCGAGAAGCUAGUCUAAUUAAGGAUUUAACUUAUACUCACCAUUUUUAACACGUUACCAAUUAAUGUUUAUCAUAUAAUUUAACCUAUAAUUAACUUUUAAAUAACCUAAUUGUGCUCACUAUCUUACGACUAAGAGGACUUUGUAAUGAACUAGGUGCAGAAGUUGAACUGCCAGUGGAGCUGUAUUGUGAUAGCAAAGCAGCAAUUCAAAUUGCUGCAAAUCUCAUAUUUCAUGAGCGUACAAAACACAUAGAGAUGGACCUACACUCCAUCAUAGAAAGGAUUCAACAAGGAAUUGUCAGAACCAAGUAUGAUGUCUAAGGAUCAAGAAGUAGAUUUGUUCACAAAGGCAGUGGGGAGAUCACAACAUGAGUACUUGAUGAGCAAGCUAGGAGUGCUCAAUCUAUUUGCACCACCUAGCUUGAGGGGGAGUAUUGAAGAGAGGAGUAGCACGUGACUGGCACGUGAGUCAGUAGGAUUAGUUAGAAAGUAAGUUAUAACUAAUUAUGGGAUUGGGUGUUAGAGAAUUAACGAAAGUUGUGUAAAAUUAGUUAGCUUAGCUGGUAGUUGUAGUGUAUAUAUACUAGCCACGUGUCAUUGUAUUCAGUAUGAUUUGAGAAAAUAAUUUCAGCUCAAUUUGCUCUCAAAUGAAGUUUCUGUUCUAGAACCUUCUGGUUCAUUUCUCUUCUCUCAUUUCAAUCAAGCUAAUCUCAAAUCCUCAUCAAAAAGCAAAUAAUUUUGUCCAGAAACUUUCAAACACUUAAAUUACGUUUAACUUGUUACAGUAACUUUUUGAGAGAGAGUUCAUCAGACAAAAAGUUAGUCAACAUAUAAAUUAAAAGACUGAAAACAGCUUUUGCAUAAACGAAUGGACUCUGUGCUACUCAUAUUGCUCCAUGAAAUCAUCGUUGAACUUUUUGAAACUAGUCAUUAUUGAAGGCAUGUCUUCUUCAGCUGGCAAGAUAGUUGUUCUUAGGUGGAACACCCUACAUAGAGAAGCACCCUCAAAUUGCCCAUCGAGAAGCUAGUCUAAUUAAGGAUUUAACUUAUACUCACCAUUUUUAACACGUUACCAAUUAAUGUUUAUCAUAGAAUUUAACCUAUAAUUAACUUUUAAAUAACCUGAU